This 253-nucleotide ribosomal RNA is filed under the name uncultured bacterium. RNAcentral's name for it is "partial 16S ribosomal RNA". It matches the Rfam family "Bacterial small subunit ribosomal RNA", at positions 524 to 776 of the family's 1533-position model. The record is from RNAcentral.
UACAGAGGUCCCAAGCGUUGUUCGGAUUCAUUGGGCGUAAAGGGUGCGUAGGCGGCGCGGUAAGUCGGGUGUGAAAUCUCGGAGCUUAACUCCGAAAUUGCAUUCGAUACUGCCGUGCUUGAGGACUGGAGAGGAGACUGGAAUUCAUGGUGUAGCAGUGAAAUGCGUAGAGAUCAUGAGGAAGACCAGUGGCGAAGGCGGGUCUCUGGACAGUUCCUGACACUGAGGCACGAAGGCCAGGGGAGCAAACGGG